This 28873-nucleotide long non-coding RNA is filed under the name Eutrema salsugineum. RNAcentral describes it as "long non-coding RNA (ESAL_LNC001021)". The stretch from base 18694 to 18793 matches the Rfam family "MIR164 microRNA precursor family". Lineage: Eukaryota; Viridiplantae; Streptophyta; Magnoliopsida; Brassicales; Brassicaceae. The record is from RNAcentral.
AUGGAGACUAUCUCCCUAUAACACACGUUGGCUCCAUUGCUCUGCCAACUCCAACAGGUAAGCUACCUCUUACUGAUGUAUUGGUUUGUCCUGAGAUAACUAAAUCUCUUCUUUCUGUGUCAAAGCUCACCGAUGAUUAUCCCUGCUCAUUCACCUUUGACUCUACAUCUGUGUGCAUUAAGGACAAAGCAACACACCAGCUUCUCAGUCAGGGAAGCAAAACUAAGGGCUUGUAUCGGUUAGAGAAUCCCCAACCUUUGGUGUUCUACUCUUCAAGACAGCAACAAGCGAGUGAUACAGUAUGGCACAAGAGGCUUGGGCAUCCUCAUCAUCAAGUUCUGAAGCAUCUAUCUUCUAUUAAUGCUAUUGCUUUUAAUAAGACAACUUUGCCAAUGUGUGAGUCAUGUCAGUUGGGGAAAACAUGCAAACUUCCCUUUAGUAGAUCGGAUUUUCAAUCAAGUAGACCUCUUGAGAGGAUUCACUGUGAUGUAUGGGGUCCAGCUCCAGUUGUAUCAGUCCAAGGGUUCAGAUAUUAUAUUGUGUUUGUUGACAAUUUUUCAAGAUUCUGUUGGUUUUAUCCACUUAAAGUGAAAUCUGAUGCCUUUCAUGUCUUCAAAACAUUUCAACAAUUGGUCCAAACUCAAUACAAUCAGAAAAUCUGUAUUUUCCAGAGUGAUGGUGGUGGUGAGUUCAUCAACAAACAGUUUCUAGACCACUUUGCAACUUGUGGGAUUAAGCACUACAUCUCUUGUCCACAUACACCUCAGCAAAAUGGUCUAGCUGAGAGAAAGCAUAGACACAUUGUUGAGCUGGGUCUGUCUAUGCUCUUCCACAGCCAAGUUCCACAACAACUGUGGGUUGAAGCCCUGUUCACUGCCAACUUCCUCAUCAACCUGCUUCCUUCCUCUGUUCACAACAAGCUGGUCAGUCCUUUUGAAGUUCUUAAUGGAGAUAGACCUGUCUACACUGCUCUGAGAGUAUUCGGGUGUGCUUGUUACCCAUACUUGAAGCCUUAUACACAGAACAAAUUCGAUCCCAAGUCACUUCUCUGCGUAUUUGUGGGUUAUAGUGAAAGGUACAAAGGCUAUCGAUGCUUUCAUCCACCAACUGGAAGAGUAUAUAUCAGCAGACAUGUGUUAUUCAAUGAGUCUCAGUUUCCCUUCGCAGAAGGAUAUAAGAGCUUUGCCAAGCUUGCAACGACUCCUCUAAUGAACGCUUGGUACUCAGGUCAACCGACUGCAGAGACCUCUACUCAGUCUCAGUCUAGUCAGCCCACACCAGAAGAGAUCACCUGUGUUAAAAUUGGUACAGUCUCUGUUCCUGUACCAUCAAGCCGACAAAGAUCACCAUCUCUGUCUCCUCCAACUAAUGUUCAACGGUCACCAAGUCCUCAAGCUUCUUCUCAUACCUCAUCCCCAACAACUGAUAUGGUCGAAGAAAUGGAGCCUUUUGACAGUCAAGAAGAGAUAACUCCAACUGAUUCAUCCACAAAUGUUCAUCCAAUGGUGACCAGAGGCAAAGCUGGGGUCAGUAAGCCUAAUCCACGAUAUAUUCUAUUUGCUACAAAGGGUAUUCCUUCAGAACCCAAAACCGUAGCUGAGGCUGUAGCUCAUCCAGGCUGGAAUGCAGCAUGUGAAGAAGAAAUUGGCACAUGUCAUGAUACAAAUACCUGGGAUCUCGUUCCAAGACCCCCCAACACCAAUCUCCUUGGGUGCAAAUGGGUCUUUAGAACAAAGCUGAAUUCAGAUGGCUCCUUGGACAAGUUAAGGGCCAGACUUGUAGCAAAAGGAUUUGAACAAGAAGAAGGUGUGGACUUUCUAGAGACAUACAGCCCUGUAGUUCGGACAGCAACAGUUAGAAUGGUGUUGCACCUUGCUGUUAUUGAAAGAUGGGAUAUUAAGCAGCUAGAUGUAAAGAAUGCUUUUUUACAUGGAGAUCUUCUUGAGAGCGUGUUCAUGAAACAACCUCCAGGGUUUGAAGAUAAAGUUCACCCUGAUUAUGUCUGCAAAUUGAACAAGGCUAUCUAUGGAUUGAAACAAGCUCCUAGAGCCUGGUUUGACAAAUUCAGCUCAUACCUCAUUUCUUAUGGAUUUCAGUGCAGUCCGAGAGAUCCUUCACUGUUCGUGUAUAUGGAUGGCAAAAGCAUUCUUUUCCUUCUGCUGUAUGUUGAUGAUAUGGUAAUUACAGGGAAUGAUCAGUCUUUGGUUGACAAACUCCUCACUUCUCUUGGCGAAAAGUUUAGAAUGAAGGACAUGGGACCCCUCAGCUACUUCCUUGGAAUACAGGCUCAUUUCACUCCCACUGGUCUCUUUUUGAACCAAGAGAAAUAUGCUCAAGAUCUCCUUCAUAUUGCAGGUAUGGCAGAAUGUUCUCCCAUGCCCACGCCUCUACCCCUGCAGUUGAACCAAGUACCACAUGGAUUGCUUCUCUGCUAACUGAUAUUGGGUUCCCUCAGUCUCUUCCCGCUGAAGUUUAUUGUGACAAUCUUUCUGCAGUCCAGUUAACGGCUAAUCCAGUUCUUCAUCCUCGGUCCAAACAUUUUGAAACUCACUAUCACUUUGCUCGGGAGAAAGUAGCUCUCGGUACUCUGCUGGUUCAACACAUUCCUGCUUCUCAACAGAUUGCUGAUAUAUUCACUAAGUCCCUGCCACAUGAAAGCUUUGUGUCGUUAAGGUUCAAACUUGGAGUGCUCGAUCCUCCCACUACGAGUUUGCAGGGGGGUAUAAACAAUGUUAAGGCCCAACACAAUGUUAAGGCCCAACCGAAACCCAACAACUCUGCAAACAAGACAAAACUUGUCGCAGCAACGGUCAAGAACAGAGGGAACAGUACGAACACAGAAAACAGGUUUUCUGUGCUUGAAGAUAAAGACGGUGAGCUGUAAAUUGCCACCUGUCUAUGAGUCUAGAAUCAUCUAAGCCUUGUAUAAAAGCUCACUCUUUGUAAACGUUUUGGAGUUAGUUAAUGAGAAUGCAAUUUCAGUAAACCUAAAAUACUUUUUGCUCUGCUUCAUUUUCUUGUUACUCACACACUGAUCUUCACGCUUAUAAUUAUGGUUUGAUCCCGCGGUAAUUAAUUAUCAAACGUUUUUUCCCUUUUUUUCUCACAUCUAGUUUAUCAUUAAAUAGUAAACGGAUAAUAUAAUUUGAUCGUUUGCCAUUUCGGCGGAACUAUCUACUAGUACGUAGCUAACAUACAUUAAAUUAACUUCUUAGUAUGGCCAGCCAGUAAACGACCUUGAAAAAGUUUCAAAAAUCCACCAUCAAAUAUCAUAAAAGAACAUUAAUUAUUUUAUUACCAAUUAAUUAGUAUAGUAUUUUCUCCGUUUUUUUUUUGGGUCAACUUACGACUGAUUAGCAACUAAAUUUCGUCAAAAUUUUUCACGAAAUGAACGAUAAUGAAACGAACAUAAAUUUUUCGUUGGAGUUUAACACUGAGAUAACAAUAUAAAAACAUUUAAAACGAUUUAUUGUCCACCGCUAUCAACAAUAAAACCAAUAUUAUCUCAUAUACUCCCAUGACUGCUAUACACGUGCUAUUUUCCAUUGCACAAAUUUGGGCAAGUGCUUCAUAUAUCCUUCUUUUUCUUGGUUUCCCAGUAAAUAGUGAUUAUUACUCUAUAAUUUGAAGAAUCAAUAAGGUUGGAAUAAAAAAACUUCAAAGUCAAAUAGUUAAUAACCACAACUCGAAACUUGUCUUCAAUCUGCAGUAUAUAUGAAGAAGGCACAUGCUUUAUCCGCGUAAAUCGAACAACUAGUGCUAGUGGGUUUUGGUUAAUAAGAAGAAUAUUAGUAUUUUUUUUUGUUAAAGUUAAACGAAAAUUAGUUGACUGAUUAAAAUAUACACUUUGUCAACAUUAUCUUAAUUAUAUAUGUCCCUUGGAGCUUGACAUUAUAAAAGUCGUUUCAAUCCUCUUGAGUUACGCAAAAGGUCCAACUCCAUUGGCAUUGCUGCCAUUGCAUGGGUUUCUUUCACGCGUUGUAUUUUCACAUAAGCAAACGUCGUCGUACAAACUUGAUAAUUGAGACACGGUUUAAUUUCCUUCCAUGAGUUUCAUUUCAUUUUACAUUUAUCCUAACAUUAAAAUUUAUAAACUUUUUGUUUCCUUGAUCUAAAUUUUGUUUUCAUUUUUAAUUACAGCUGGUCAACAAGUAUUUAACGCAGUGGAAGAUAAAUUUACGAUUAAUCUGGGGUUUCUCACAUGAAACAUAUUAAUGGAAUUUAAAUAAAUAAUUUGGAGACUAAAAUUAGUAUCGAAAUAUUAUUAAUUAUCAAAAUUUGUGAAGAUAUAUAUCAUGAAUACAAUCUCACGUUAUUCCCCUUAUUGCUUACUUGCUGUUCUGUGAGAUAAAUUUAACUUAAAUCAAAGUUAGCAGACAUUAUUGUUUCAUUGUUUGCCAUCAAUUAAACUAGGUCUCUUAACUCAUAUUGUGAACGAAGUUACGGUCAAAUAAAUGUGUAGGUUUUGACUUUAAGAGAGAGAGAUCUUUUUUUUUGACAGCUCUUUAAGAGAGAUAUCAAGAUAUCAAUAUCUGUCGACAUGAGAAAAAGAUAUCAAUAUCCAUAACAAUGUAAUUUUAAGGGAUUCUUUUCAUGUGUCACUGUAUACAAACAUAUAUAUAUAUAUAUAUAUAUAUCCAAUUACAAACAUAUAUAAUAUAUCCAAUUACGUAUCUCUUGGCUGUCCUCUCUUAAUUGAAAAAACAAAUUAAAAUAUUACACCCAGCCUAAUUAAUGCAGCAAGAUUGAGCUAAUUGAUCAAUAAUUGGAUUUCAUACAACUAAAUAUAUGAACUAAUAAAUAGACACUCUCUUUUUUUUUUUUUUGCAACAAAAGAAAUAUAGAGUUAUGAUCCAAAAUAUGUGUCUCUUAAUUUAAUUUGUUCAUUUUAUUUACUCUCACAUGCAUGAAAACUAUCCACUAUACAAUUUCAAAACGCAUUUUAUUUGCAAUAAUCUAUAGUCUACCAAAAUUUAUAAUGUCAAGAACUUGACUUUUUCAUUAUGAGUAACGUGCUUUUUUACCAACAUGUUAUAUCUAUAUUCGAUUUUUUUUUCUUGAAAUGCCUAACAUUGGUUGACAAUUUUAAAUUACGAACACCAGUUACACCAUCCUGAUUAUACUAAUUCAAAUUGGUAACAGAAGUUGGUCAAAAUUUGACUUUUCAAGUAAAUAUUAUAAAACCAAAAAAAAAAAAGAGAAAAAUUCAUCAAUUCAACUUCAACACCCAUUUAUAAAUUAUCAAUGAUGGAUUUUAAUUACUCCUUAACUACGGUGAAUAUUUGUCUAUUUUUUAGUCAGAGAUAGAUCUAUACGUGUGAAUAUUAUAACAAUAUGGUAUAUAUGUUUGAAUUUUGUGGCACCGUCAUAAUUAUAGAUAUACACACACAUUAUUAUUAAUGACUUGAACUUGUACGUAUUCAAAUUCAACGUUCUCGAGAACCCUAUAAAUAAUCCAAGACAAUUAACACAUUUUCUCAAACCAAACACACAAUUAAACAAAAGAUGUCUCAAAUACUCAUGUUAUUGGUCACCAUUAGCAUCCUCUCUCUAUCGUCAUCUCCUUCUCUCGCCGCCGAAUUUCAGGGCACCGGAAAUGCCAUGUCGCGGUCAAAUGUAUGUCGAUUCGCGCCGGAUCCAUCGUAUUGUAGAUCGGUUCUACCAAACCAGCCUGGAGAUAUAUACUCCUACGGCCGCUUCUCACUCCGACGGUCCCUCUCACGUGCCACCCGGUUCAUGUCGCUGAUUGACGAUCAACUAAACCGGAAAGGCAAAGUGGCUGCGAAAGCCACAUUAGGGGCACUCGAAGACUGCAAAUUCCUCGCUAGCCAGACCAUCGACUUCCUCCUUAGUAGCUCAAGGACUGUCGAUGCCACCAAAACGCUGUCGUUUUCAAGGGCAGAGGAUGUUCAGACUUUUCUAAGUGCUGCGAUCACCAACGAACAGACUUGUCUUGAAGGACUUAAAUCCACGGCUUCGGAAAAUGGUCUCUCCGGUGAUCUUUUCAACGAUACCAAACUCUAUGGGGUCUCUCUUGCCCUUUUUUCCAAAGGUAUAUAAUAAUAAUAAUAAUAAUAAAGAUUAAUAAUAAUCAUGCACGUAAUCGACUAAUUAAUCCCCAUUCUUUAUUUUUCGUUCUAAUAUGCACGUCUUCUAUAAUGUGGCACGAAAUCUGCAUUUAAUUAGCGCUUUAUUAAUUUCUACAGUUCUUGCUUUCGUGAAUAACGGUUUUCGUUAGAAAAACAACGCUGAUGUUUGAAAGAUUUAUCAUGGAGUUGGUUAAAAAUAAUAGUUAAAUUACAAGAAUAUUCGGUUCUUUUUAUACAACCUACAAAUAUCACCAUUUCUUUAUUAUCCAAAAAAAAGAUUAAAAUAAUAAAGAUUUUAGCUAUUAGGGAUUUUUGAAACCCAUAUAUAUAUAUAUAUAUAUAUAUAUAAACUCUACGUAAUAUACGAAAUUAAAAACAGGUAAUAAAUUUUGACUUCAAUUGUAGGUUGGGUGCCAAGAAGGAAAAGAUCGAGACCGGUUUGGCAACCAAAAGGCAGCUUCAAAAAGUUUCUCGGAUUCCGUAACGGUAGAUUACCGUUAAAUAUGACGGGAAGGGCACGUGCCGUUUACAACAGCGUGACUACUGGGCCUGGGAGAAAGCUUCUCCAAGCUGAAGCAGACGCCGUUCUGGUGAGCGACAUUGUGACGGUGAACCAGGACGGGACGGGAAACUUCACGACCAUAAACGCAGCCGUUGCAGCCGCGCCUAAUAAAACAGACGGUACUAACGGUUAUUUCUUGAUCUACGUAACGGCGGGAUUGUACGAGGAAUACGUGGAGAUUCCCAAGUACAAGAGGUAUGUGAUGAUGAUCGGUGAUGGCAUUAACCAAACCGUUAUCACCGGCAACCGGAGCGUCGUUGAUGGCUGGACCACUUUCAAUUCCGCCACAUUUAGUAAGUACUUCAUAUACAUAUACCGAUAUACGUAUAUCUCACAAUACAUAGAGCAAAACCAGUUUUUUUAUAUUGAAAUUAUCUAUCUUCUUCUUCUCUUUUUCUAAUUCUCCUCUAAUUAGUCAUGGUCUAUAUAUUAUAUUAGUUUAAUUAUAUAAAAAACAUAAAUAAUACGCGGUUUAAAACUGAAUGAAUAUAAAAUUUAGCAUCCCAGUCUCGUCAGUCGUCACCACAUAAUAAAAAAUUAUAUAGAAAAUAUGAAGUCAUGUGCACAAUAUAAUUACAAAAAAAAACAUGGCUGCUUCGUGCAAGUGCGAUGUAACUUUUCCUUCUUUUUUUUAGAAACCUUGGUUUUUUUUUUUUGUAACAAGGGUGAGAAACCUUGGUCCAAAAAAUAUAAAAAAUAAUAAUACUCAUGCAAUCGAAGACGAGUUGGUCCACUAUAUAACUUGGCUAUUAAUAUAGACUUUUUCCAUGCAAUCGAGGGCGAUUUUGUCGAAUGGUCCACCGAAAGUCUUUUAAACUCCACGUCCAUUCCUCGUGUCAUCAACUAACCUAAUACCACAGUCCAUUAAACUAAAAUAUUUCUCAAAUUUGUUUGUUUCCUAAUGUUUUGUUUUAUAUUUUUUCUCUCUAACGAACCAGUUAAAAUUAUCGCUAUACAGUAUUUUUAAUCAACUAAUUAAGUCAACAAUAUUUGUUUUUGUUGCGAAAAUGGCAGUUCUAUCAGGAACAAACUUUAUUGGAGUGAACAUAACAAUCCGCAACACGGCAGGGCCGACAAAGGGUCAAGCCGUCGCAUUGAGGAGCGGUGGAGACUUCUCUGUCUUCUAUAGUUGCAGUUUUGAAGCGUAUCAAGACACUUUAUACACGCAUUCUCUUAGACAGUUUUAUCGUGAAUGCGAUGUUUAUGGCACCGUUGAUUUUAUAUUCGGUAACGCUGCAGUGGUGCUGCAGAACUGUAAUCUGUAUCCACGUCAGCCUCGCAAAGGUCAGUCCAACGAAGUUACAGCUCAAGGCCGUACCGAUCCGAACCAGAACACCGGAACGGCUAUCCAUGGGUGUACGAUUAGACCGGCGGAUGAUUUGGUUACGAGUAAUUAUACGGUCAAAACUUAUCUUGGUCGGCCUUGGAAGGAAUACUCGAGAACCGUCGUUAUGCAGACUUACAUCGAUGGUUUUCUUGAACCGACUGGUUGGAACGCGUGGACCGGCGAUUUUGCAUUGAGCACACUUUACUAUGCUGAAUACAAUAAUACCGGACCCGGUUCAAACACGACAAACCGAGUCACUUGGCCCGGUUAUCACGUCAUUAACGCUACUGAUGCUUCCAAUUUCACGGUCACAAAUUUCCUCGUUGGUGAGGGUUGGAUCGGACAAACCGGAGUGCCGUUCGUUGGUGGAUUAAUUGCAUAACUAUAUUAAUUAAUUCCUUUAAGUUAACAUCUCACUAUGUUAGUUAAUAAUAUCAUAUUCAUGUUGUUCUUUACAUAUUUUAAAUAAUUUUUUAAAAAAUUAAAAUGAUUGUGAUUUUUGGGGUCAAUCUAUUCUCUCAUAUAAUAAUAUUCACAACCGUAUAAUACAAUAUUUUCGGAGUUCAUUAAAGAGACUAGAGACUAAUUAAUCGAAUAACAAACAAAUGAGCUUCUUUUGUAGCAAAUUUUUGGUGAUGGAAAAUUUCCAUAGUCUGUCUCAGACGCUCUCGUAGCCACGUGGUCUGGCAUUGGUGCCACCGCGUUUGGUGCGGUUUUGGUAAAAAAAAAAAAUCAAUAUAAAACCCAAUCAGUGUACGUAUUCCGUAUUUUAGAUGCUCCACAGUCGUUUCAAAGAUAAAACUGGAUGAACCGGAAUUUUAGAUCCGUUAAUUUGAACCGGAUCAAAAACGUUGGGCAUCUCCACUGUGACACCGACUAGAUCGAUCGGUUCUCUCUCACACGCCUCCAUCGGAAAUCUCAACGGCGAAGAAGAAGAAGAGGAAGAGGAGGAAGAGGAACUUCCGGUUUCUAUGUCCUCGAUCGGUUUAACCGGAUCGGCUGGUUCGGGUGGAUUGGAGGGGUUAAGGGGCUGAACCGGAGCUCUGCAAAGCGGGCAAGUGGAUCUGGAACGGAACCAAGUAUCGAUGCAAUCGACGUGAAAGGCGUGGCCACAUUUCGGUAGAAUAAGGCCUUUGUCGUCUUCCUCGAACUCCGACAAGCAGACGGAGCACUCCUCUUCUUGAUGAGUCUCCUCCGACGAGUAAACGAAGAUCGGGAUCUUCUCGAGAACCGCCGGAUCGAGAGGGGAUACGGAGGAGGAGGAGAUGGUGGAGGCGGAGAGAGAGCGGAGGUGAGCACGAAUCCGGCGGCGAAUGCGACGGUUUUGACGGCGGAAUAACCAUCUGGCGUAGCUGUGGAAGCAGAGGAUCAGAAUCACGGCGACGAAGAGGAUGAUUACGGAGGAGAGCAUGAUUUUGCCGUUGAGGGCGUAGCCUGGAGGCGCGUGGCUCACACUCUCCCACAUUGGCUUGCUGCUUUCUUCUCCGAUUCCCAUAUCGUCGAGAGACUAGAGAGACUAGAGAGACUAGAGAGAGAGUGGGUUGCUUGCUUAUGUGUCUUUGGGCUUCCCCUUCCUUAUUUAUAGGCUAUUUAAAAGAAAUCAUUGGGUCCCUCUUUAUUUAAUUUUAUUCUGUUUUCGUUUUCUUUCGAGACGAUUAAAGAAAUAUGCAAACGUUAUAUUCUUUUUAAUUGCCUAAACCAAAACCAAAAUAUUCACAUGUAUUGUUUUUUUUUUUCAAAUAAAUAAAACAUUCACGUACUGUAUUGUGUUCGACUCAUAUUCUAUCAAUUAAGUUGACGAUGUAUUGUGUUCGACUCAUAUUCUAUCAAUUAAGUUGACGAUGUAUUGUGAACACUAAAUACUGUCAAAUUAUUUUUUCAAUGAUUUAUACUCUAACAUGUUUUCAUGCUCUACAUAAUCUUCUAUAAAUAUUCUCGGAUACAUUUUGUUACGGAAAAUAUAGUUUCCUCGUUUUUAACAAAAGAAAAUUUUGUAUCUCUGUUGUAAAUCACAAAUAUUUGCUACAUCAAUAACUUAUUUUAUGGUAUUAAUUGCGAUAAGUAGUUCUUUUUUCGUGUCUCUCUAAUAAUAUCCUUUUCUUUUGAUUUUGACUAAAUAAACAUGUAAUUGUUCAUUAUCUUUACAAAUUUCCUUUCGUAUGUUUGUAACUGUACACUAAUUUAACGUCUUUUUUUUCAACAAAUGUAUGCAAAAAGAACAAGGGAUCGUAUUACAAAGUAAACUUAAUUAUUUACUAAUAGUUGCAAUUGGAAGUUGAUGUGUCUUAAUUAUUGUAAGAACUUUGGAAAUAAAAGUCCUUUUGGGUCAAAACAGAAAAGUGUUUGCCACUUUCUUCAUAAUCAUAGAGUUUGUCAUAUGCGUACGUAAUUCGUAAAGAAAGUCUACAAGUUCGUGAACCCACUUGUAAACUUCUCACUUCUCAGUCUUUUGAUAUGCCUAAAGAAACUCGACAAGUUCUUGAACCCACUUGUGACUUCUCUCAGUCUUUUUAAAACUACUUGAUGAGCAUUCUGCCAGUUUCCCCCCGAUUAUUUUCUACUAUCGAUUUUGUGAGUUGAAUUACCCGUAAUAUCGAACAACGAUUAUGCAAUUGCACAAUUAUUAUAUAUAAGGAUGGCGAAACCAAUAAUAGCGCUAUACAUGCCUGAUUUAUGAAUUGAUAUGAACUGGUAAAAAAUAUUCAUAACUAAAUUAACAGGCACAGAAGAAUGUCAUCAAAGCUUGCUUGCUUAGAUGCUAAGAGUCAGAGACUGUCUCAAUAUUAGACCCUCCGUUUGCUUUAAAGGAUCUUGCACUUGUUUUCUUUGUUUUUUAAAAAUAGAUAUAUAACUUCAUCUUUUUAUAUUUUCGUCAAAUGUAGCUUUUAGUUCUUUCGUUUGAGUCAUUUUCAAAAUACGGCUUUAAGACCAUUUUACACAUCAGAACCUAAUAUGUGUUUUGUCGUGAAGAGAGUGUAGUUUGGGUUUCCGCUGGAAUUUUCUAGUCUGUUUUGCAAAUUGAUAAAGACCUUAAUGCUCUACGCCUUUUUCUGUCUUGUUUAUACUUUAAAUGUUUACAAUAUUGAAAACAAAUGACAAAUUGGCAAAAGAAUCUUUUAUUAAAAUACAAUAGGAAAUGACAUUGGAAUGGAAUAUUCUGAUUUUCCCAAAAAAUGUUUUGAAAAUAAAUCUUAACAAAAAACUAAAUAUAAUAUUGAUUCAAGAUUUUUACUAUAUUUUCUAUCAAAUUUAACAAUUAUGCGAUUAAAAUAGUAUUUCGCCCAGACACAACAUGGGUGGAAAAUUUAGUUAAAAAUAAAUAAAUAUUUGCUAUUCUCUCGUUAGUCCUACGAACCUUUUUCUUCUUCAUUUUACCCUUUUUCUCACUCUUAGUACUACUUUUCUUGCUUCUCAAUGAGUCAAUGUUAAACACCGUUAUACAAUUGAUGAUAAAUCUACGAAAUUUUAAUUUAAAAUACACGCUACACACAAGUAGCUCGAGAUGCUGGAAAUCAGGUCGUCCUCGGGAAAGUGGCUACCUAAGUGCUAAAGUGCUCUGUUUUCACGUAGUAGUAAGAGUUCAAACAAUGGAAAAGGAAGAUGUCUAAGAUAAUAAUAUAUAAAUACAGUUGGUUUUGUAUCCACUGGUGGUUUGCUCUCACGGCGGCUGCUGAAAUUGCGAAUCUAUGGGUGUUGCCAUGUAUUGUUGGAUAACUUAAUUGUUUAUUGUUUAACCAAUCAAAAUUAGAGAGAAAAGGUACAGUAAAUAUUAUUAACAGGAUAAGAUGGUCAAAACAUUCCCCAAGUGGUAUAAAGUUCCAUUUUCUUCCUCCCAUGUGAUGUGCCGUGCGGCGAAUCUAGAAAUGUGUCAAAAUAUCAUUUCCUUUUUCUUUUACCAUAUUUUUUAUUUUUAUGUUGACCGUGAUUGAUAACUCUCUAAAUGCGGAAAGAAUAGAAUGAUUUCAAAAUUUUGCUGCUUUUCAAAACUUCACAUGGUUUUUUCAGUGAAUCACACAAUUUAUGUUAGUAACCCCCUAAGUUAACCAAAAUAUUACUCAUAUUUUUUUCAAUUAUAUCAAUUCCGCUUUGUUUCAGUUAGUUUUUUUGCCCUUUAAAAAUAAAUCGAAUUUAUGUGGAGAACCAUCUUAUGUUAUUUGAAUCGAUUAGCUAAUACUUAUAGCUAAAAAGUAAAAGGGAAGAGGAGUUUAUAAGAUAAAUCAAUUCACAUUUUAACGAGAAUUCACAUGACCACUUUUCUUUUCUUUAAUUUUCUCUGGAAGAUUUAUCUGUUUAAAGCUAACAGCCUAACAUGAUAUUGUUAGCGAAGAGAGGAAUUUUUUAUUUUUAUUUUUGCAAAAGAGUUAGUCUGAAAAUCGGGUCAUUUGUGAAAAAGUAACCAUUGCGUUUACAGUAAAAAAUGAAUAUCAUUAUCAAGUUCACAAAAUUUUAAUCGUCAAAAUAAAUAAUAGCUAUAUACACAUUUUAUAUAUUGUUAUAUAUAUAUAUAUAUUCUAUUGAUUAUAUAUGCUUCCUGAAGAAAGAAUGGAACGAACUAGGCGUAGUUACAUGAUGUAACAGCGAGUCAAGCUCACAUAUCGUACCUAGUCAUGGCCAGCUCAUUCCUCUCCCUUUUUCUUUUUAACUUUCAUCUAUUUUUUUAACUUUUAAUUUUUUUCCUCACUUUUCUUCUUUUAAUUUUUUUUUAUCAAUCUUAAUUUAAGUUUUUUUCAUGUCGUUGGGAAUAAAAAGAACACUCGAACAAUAUAGAGAGAAAGAAAGACUUGUUUUGUGAAAGACGGCGAUAAUUUUUUUUUAAUUGAGCGAUACCUGAUAUUUCAGACAAGCUUAGGCAUAAAAACAAAGUCAAGGAAGAAUCACUGUUCUUCACUACACAAACUUAAGACUAGUGAAUAUAUAAAAUAAAGACUAGUGAACAUGGCGUAAGAAGAGUAAUAAUUCUUUUGGAUAGGUAUUAUUGACAAAGAGAGGUACCAAAAUGGAAAAAGACCAAACAUUUGAUCUAUCUUUUUUUUUUUUUUUUUUCUGCACAUUUGAUCUAUCUAAAACUUUAUAAUGCGCAAAAAAAAGAAACGAAAAGUUUUGAAAAGCCGCUACGAAAGUUUUUAAGAAAAAACAUGCAUAGAUGAACUCAAGUAAUACAUGAAUUGACCAUGAUGACUCUGAAAAGAAGUCACGAUGAAAGUCUUAGACCUUGACAUUUGGUUGGCUAAGCUUAGACCUUGAAGCAGCCUCUGCUCUUUCUUCCUCCUCUGGCUUUCUCAAACUUUCUACCAAUGGAACGCACAUAUGGUUUGGUAUAUCUGUGUGGCACACCAGGAGCUGGUCCAAAGUGCUUCACUGCGUUCCAUUACUUGAGCUGUACCUUGACAAGGAGCUUAAGAUAGACAUGGUCGGAUUUAGGCUCAGUACGGUUCAUCUACUUGCUCUUGCCUCCGGCAAUCAAAUCGAUGCCCUAAGAUGGAACACAGAAGCCAAAAUGAGAGCCCAAAAAUCUAGGACGAUUGGUCAGAAGUGAACCAUUAUUCUGUUGCUUUGGGGCCUUCUCUUUCUCAACCUAGAGAUCACACAUGUACUAGACGUAGAUUUUUUUUUUAAAAAAAUUAUUGGCCCAUUAGUAUAAAUAUUGGGCUACUUAGUGGGCUUUACGAACACAGCUUGGUCUGUGAGCUACUAGGCACUUGCAAAAUAAAAACCUCACCUUUUCGAUUUCGCUAAUUCGCCGGAGAUUUCGUAAAUCGGAGAAAGAUGGAGAUGCAGGAGGCUAAUCAAGGGUCGGAGGUUUCUCCGAACCAGACGAUCUACAUCAAUAACCUCAACGAAAAAGUGAAGCUCGAUGGUGAUCAAUCAAUCUCUCUCUCUCUCUUUUUUUUUUUACUUAUCGUCAUGUAUUUGCUCCGAUUUCAGUUGAUUGAGAUAUUUUCUUCUUCUUCUUCUUCUUAUUCGGAACCCGUACAGAGCUGAAGAAAUCCCUGAACGCCGUCUUCUCUCAGUUCGGAAAGAUACUGGAGGUGUUGGCGUUUAAGACAUUGAAGCACAAAGGGCAAGCUUGGGUUGUGUUCGAGAGCGCGGAAUCUGCUUCGACUGCUAUUGCGAAAAUGAAUGGAUUUCCCUUCUACGAUAAACCCAUGGUACGAUAUCUUUUGCAGUGAAAUUUCCACUUGCUCGAAUUACACUUUGUUGCUGCGCUGAAUUCGUCAUAAUUCAUGGAUUUCGCUAUUACCCAGGAUGCUUGAUUAUGUUAGGGUUUUACUUUACUUAGUGGAGGUUUGAUUUCACCGAACGGAACUUUGGAUUCCAGGAAACUUUGCUUGUGAUUUUCUACUUUAAAUUCAGCUUGAGAGGCGAGACCGAUUGUUGUGGUUGCUUUUAGGUUAAUGAAGAGAUUGGAUUGGAUCUAUCUCUUUUAGUAUUUGUGUUGAUGAAAUACUUACCGAUGACUUUGUCUCAACUUGAACAAUCUGGACAGAGAAUACAAUUUGCGAAAACAAAAUCAGAUGUUGUUGCCAAGGCCGAUGGUACAUUUGUUCCUCGCGAGAAAAGAAAGAGACACGAGGAGAAAGGUGAGGCUCUCAAUUUUUCAUUUUAUUUUUUGCAUUACUGCUUCCUUGUCUCACUUGGCCGGAGCAUUGUUGCAAAUAUAAAUGUAGAACUUUUUUGUUUCUUUCAUCAUUCAUUUCUCGCAUGACAUUCUGCAUUAAUCAUUAGUAGUCACAUCUCAUGCACUUACUAUGUGAAGCCAUGUAUACAUCCUUUGUGAGUUUGGGAUAUCUUUGCUUCUCCAACCCUAUAAACAGUAUGUUGUUCGACUCUAAAAAAAAAUAAAAAACCGUCUUUUGGAAUUGCAGGAGGCAAGAAAAAGAAAGAACAGCAUCAUGAUUCUACACAGAUGGGCAAUGCCAUGAACUCAGCAUAUCCAGGUGUCUAUGGAGCUGCACCUCCUGUGAGUCAUCUCAACCUUUUAUUCCCUCUCUUAUCUUCUUGAUUCCGCUCAUUCUUUUUCUCACAUUCAUGCUUGUCUGGGAGUUCCGAUCCUUUUGUUCCUUCAAUGCAUUCUUAGUCGUUGUUCUUUAUUGCCACGCUUUACACAGCUUUCGCAAGUACCAUACCCUGGUGGUGUGAAACCCAUUCUUCCGGAGGCACCGGCACCGCCGAAUAACAUCCUCUUUGUCCAAAACCUUCCUCACGACACAACUCCAAUGACGGUUCAGAUGCUGUUCUACCAGUACCAAGGUUUCAAGGAGGUUAGGAUGGUUGAAGCCAAACCGGGUAUUGCCUUUGUGGAGUUUGCAGAUGAGAUGCAAUCAACGGUUGCAAUGCAGGGACUUCAAGGUUUCAAGAUUCUGCAGAAUCCAAUGCUCAUCACCUAUGCCAAGAAAUAGAAGACCGUUUGGUUUGAUCGGUCUUUGUAUCUCUCAAUGUCACUUCUUCCAUGGUUUAUUUUGCGCAAUUUUCUUCCUUCUCUUUUGUUGUAGAAUUUUCGUAGCUUGGAAAAUGUCUUCCGUCGAUUUCUUAUCCCAGGCAUCCUUAUAUUACUAAAGCACAAGUCACCUGGCCAAUUAAAUUCUGCCACAUAGUUUGUGCUUAUAUAUUUUUAAAAUUAAAAAAAAAAACGAUGCAAAAAAAAUAACGGUUUCUCGACUCACGAUCCUUUUUCAUCAUCCACGAUCUUUCUUGAUCUUUCUUUCCCAUAUUUCUAUAUUAAAGAUACUCUCAAUCGAUCCGAAACAUAACUCUGUGCAGUGAUUUAGUGUGGAAGAUUAGUGAUUACUUAAGUUUCUCGGAGACAUCUAAGGAUUUUGAUUUCAUCUCAAAUUUCUACCUUCACGCUGACGCAGAUAUAGGACAAGUGAUUUGCAGUGUGUUACUGGAGAUCUGAUCCUUAAGAAGACAUUUCAAUUCAUGUAAGAGAGAAUGCAAAUGCAGAUCGCAAUAGAAUUGCAAGAAGGGAAUUCUGUUAAAAGGUAAAAACGCUUCCAUUAAUUCACUUCCGAAAGGAUCAAAUUGUUUAAGUGUUUUGCUAUUGUAGAAUAGAAUUUACAGCAGCGAUGGAUUGAAAACAGCAGAGAGGUUUCUACCUUUUCUCUAUAAUUUCAAUGUUUUAAGUUUUUGGUAAGAAAAUUGAUUUAUGUAUGGUUGUAUUGUAGGGGCGAGAGGAACAUGAAGUGUUGAAGAUGACAAAACCGGUGCUGUUGUGGGAAAGAUGACUAAAUUUUAAGACAAAAUUAACACAGAUACUAUAUCAAUUGUUUCAGUUUUUCCCGUAAAUUGGUCCAUAGUCUUUGCGAUACACCACUUAUUUUUUUAUUUCAGAUGUUUGAAAUAUAAAUACACAGUGAAAAGGAAUCAUAGCUCUACUGCUUCUUCUCGAUUACCAGAAAAAAAUAGGUACUCAAACAAUCAAAUUCGUCAAUGAAAUUAUUCCCAAAGGUAACUAAUAUAAAAUAGCUCUAUAUAAUAAGCAUUCUCAUCUUGGUUUUAUAAUUUACCAGAUUUUUUAAGGAAUCGAGUGAGGAAGAAAGAUGGCACGCAGAGAAGUUUAUGGGGUACUAGGUUUUCUAUUUUUCCUUCUUUGAUUACCAUUUCUUAAUAUGUAACUAAAGUUUGUUUUUUUUAGUUAACAAAAAUAUUCCCGUGCUAAUACUAGUUACUCCUAAGUCCUAAGACAAGAGUUCACUUUCUUAAAUGGGCUAUACUGACCCAUCUUUAGUUCAGCCCAUUCGUAUUUUAGACGAAAGAAGUACACUUGCUCUCGAGGAAAAAGAAGCAGCAAUUGUAAAUCUUGAAAGAAAUUUUAAUAUUAAAUAAAAAAACCCCUAUAAAAACUAUUCUCACAAACUGAACUUUGAUUUAGAAAAGGCUUAUGGAUAUUUUUGUUUUUGAGUUAUUAUGAAUUCUUGUAGUAUCUUCUAUUAAGAUUAAAAAAAAAAACCAGUAAUCAUUAUGUGAUGUUGGAUUGGUCAAAGAAAAGUCUUUGUUGUGUAGCUGUUUUUCUUGGUUGCAGCUGACGUCAGCGAUUAUUAGGUCAACACUCGUGCGUCAAGAGAGUGGGAGUGAGCUCUCGCCUCUCUCAUCAAAAGGAAGCCCUUUGAGAUUUUCGGACACUCGAUAUGAUGCAUUAAAGUUAUCAAACACCAAAGCAUUAAUUAGACGAUGGUCCAAUAUUAAAGGAUCAGUAGUGAGCAUUAAAUAGGAAACACGAGUGUGAUACGAACACGUAAGCAUUAAUGUGUUUAUAGAUUUGGUGAUGACUUCAUUGUCUGACUCUGUCUCCUCUUUUUGCAAGACAAAAGAUUUGUAGCUUAAAAAAAAAAGAUUUGUAGCUGGUUCAUCUCUGGGUGACACCACCUAAUUAGUAUAUAUAUAUAUAUAUAUAUAAAGUUACAUCCUAAAGUGAGAUGCUCAUCAAAAUCCUUUUAUUUUUUAUUAGUCUGCCGAAUCUUAUUUUAGCAUUGAAACAUGUAGAUGUUAACACCGAAAUUAUUCAACUAAUUCGAUUCAUGCUAUUUUUAUGAGCAUCUCGCUUUAGCCAUCGUAACCUAUUGCACAUUUAGAUGUCAAAACUGUAAACAUUCAAGGAUCAAGUAAACUCUCCAAUUAAUAUGACAUUUAAAGUAGUAACUAGUAAGACUACAAGCUAGGGUUCAUAUUUACCUAUCCGGAGUCUUUAUAAAUAUGCGAGGAGGAUUAUACACUAUACAUAGACCAUAUAAUAGAAACAACUAAUAUGAGAUGGGGGGAAUGAUUAUCAACACAGGGACCUUACGAACUCAUCAUAUUUUGAAUGUUUUUUUUCUUUGUUAGAGAAAGUUAGGCCAACACGCAAAGCCCUACGUGCACUCUUUCAUUAUUCCUCUCUUCUUUUGCCCCCAACAGUUUUUGACGACCCACCUUCCCCUUUUUGACCCUCCUCUCUCUCACACUCAUGCAUGUAUGUUAAUUUAUUCAGAGGAUUCUUUUAAAAUUUGGCAUUUAUUAUCAUGACACAUAGAUAAACUGUUUCAUUUUUUGCAAUGUACACUUUACGGAGAGAAAGCUAGUAGAAUCGAGUGAACACCCAGAAUUUCAAUUUUAAUUUUAGCAUCCCGAUACUUGCUUCGUUUUCGAAAAUGUUUGAAUAUCUUUCUCUCUUAAAAAGAAAAAACAAGAUUAGAGAAGAUUUAACGGAUGGAAUUAAGUGGAUAUUAUGUUUGUUUUUCCUACCACGGAGUAGAUGCUAAGAUUAGUGGAGAUGUAGGUCUAAGAUAUUGCUUGUCAAAGCGUGACCGAUUGCAUAGGAUCCUGCAAUAACACAAAAUAUGGUACACCUAAGGUAGUUUAUAAAAUUUAGGACAGACAAGCCCCACGUUUUCAAAGAGAAAGAAAAAAAAACGAUUUGUGGAAAUAUAUAAAAGAUUUUAAACCCAGCAAUUAUUAGACAAGGCAUUGUUUGGACCUAGUUUCUCUUAGCCCUCUUCACUCUCUCACUUUUCUUCUUCAACCCUUCUUUUGCGUGAGAUGCCAUCAUGGCAUGGCAUGGUUCUUUUGCCUUACGUAAAACACACUCACGCCAACAUACAUAUAUACAUAUAUACAUAUAUAUGUAUAUGUGUUUCAUAAAUGCAAUCUUUGGGGCCUAUAUAUACAGAGCUUCCAUAACCAGAGCUCUCUCAUAUUACAAAAGCUCACAUAUAUGGUUAAUGGAAUUGCGGGUGAGAAGCUCCACGUUGGAGAAGCAGGGCACGUGCAAAGCAAUAAAUCAAACACGAAAUCUGUCUCAUGUGGUUUGCACGUGCUCCCCUCCUCCAACAUGAGCUCCUCACCUUUGGUAUUGAUGUAAACCAUGCAUCUUUGAUAAAUACAGGAACUCAAGCGUUAUUUGGUUGUUCUUCUACUCUUAUUUUCAUAUAUUCUUGUUACUAGCUUAUGGAUUUGAUGGUUAGAUAAUUCUCGUAUAUGUAUGCAGUGUUUAGAAUUAGGCGAUUACGUGUGUUUGCUUUGGUUAAAUUCGACCUUUUAUUUGGUGAGAAAAAAAUGACAAAAAAACGGACAGUUUGACGAUGGAAGUCGACGACUUAGAAACUAUACCUUCGGAGCGCCUCAGAGGGUUCUGACUGGACUUCAGAGUCAGAGGGUAUUUUAUGUUUGUUAAUCUGGAAUUACGGUGUUUAACUACAACUUUAAUUACCUACAUUAUCGUUUUGAUUUUUUGUUUCUCUCUUUUCUGUGUCCCAAACGGGCAGUUUGCUCAUUCAAUUGGUUUAAAAUUUUAUUGUUUCAAAACAAAACAACAUUUCAGCGUGAAUGUUCACACGUUUAAUCCUUUAUUAAUGUAAUGUAUUCAUAGUCAAUAAUAGUAGAAUUAUAUUUAUAGAUAUAUUAAAAAGUCAACUAGUUUUGAAACCCAAAAAAAAAAAAUCAUUUCUUGUUAAUCAGCAGUAAAGCCAACAUUUCAAUUAAUUAAAAAAAUGCUAUAACCUUAGAAUGGAAUUAUCAUAAAAAUAUCUUUUAAAAAAAAAAAAAAAAAAAAGAAAUUUGUGUGGGAAGAGAGGUAGAGAUAGCUAAUCGUCGUCCUCAUUCAUCUCACUCUACAGUCUUCUCUAUUCUCUUCCCUGAAAACAAAAACAAAAACAAAAAUGGAUUCGAAUCUCGUAGAAGAAAACCCAAACCCAGAAACCAAAUCCACAGAAGAACCUCUCGCCAUUAUCCCUUCUUCUCUACCAAUCGCCUCUCUAUCUCUCUCCUUCUUUCCCAACUCCACCACCCACUUUCUCCGAUUCUCUCACCUUUUUUCUCAUCACCCAAACAAGGUUAAGAUCCCUACUCAAGCCUCUUAUCUCACCCAUCUCUCUCUAUCUUCCGUCUCUCCUUCGCCUUCCACCAGAAUCUCCUUCAAAUCCACCGUCUCCGCUAACCCUCUUCAAUCCCCUCUCUCCAUCGUCCCGCGUCGCCCCGUCGAUCCUUCCUCCGCCGCCGCUCUCCGCCGCUCUGCCGUCGUCUGGUUCCGAAACGACCUCCGUGUCCACGACAACGAGUGUCUCAACUCCGCCAAUGACGAGUGCGUCUCCGUCCUGCCCGUUUACUGCUUCGACCCUAGAGACUAUGGCAAAUCCUCUUCCGGCUUCGACAAAACGGGGCCCUUUCGUGCCCAAUUCCUGAUCGAUUCCGUUACGGAGCUCCGGAAGAAUCUCGAGGCGAGAGGGUCCAACCUCGUUGUCCGGGUCGGGAAACCCGAAUCUGUUCUGGUGGAAUUGGCCAAAGAAAUCGGCGCCGACGCCAUUUAUGCUCACAGGGAAGUGUCUCACGACGAGGUCAAGGCAGAAGGGAAGAUAGAGACGGCCAUGAAAGAGGAAGGCGUUGAAGUCAAGUACUUUUGGGGAAGCACUCUCUAUCAUUUGGACGAUUUACCAUUCAAAAUCGAAGAUUUGCCGUCGAACUACGGAGCAUUCAAGGACAAAGUCCAGAAGUUGGAGAUCAGGAAGACAAUCGCAGCAUUGGAUCAAUUGAAAAGCUUGCCCUCUCGAGGUGACGUGCAACUUGGCGACAUUCCUUCUCUGUUGGAUCUCGGCAUUAGCCCCAGUGCUAGAACCAGCCAGGUUUGAGUUUCACUAUUUGCUUCAGUGGAGUAUUUAGCUUGGUUUGGUUAGUCCUUUUGACUUUCCAGGUUUAAGCAUUUAGAAAGGUGGAACCUUUGUUAGAAUUAUCUCCCUCUAAAGGUUUACAAUGUGCCAAUUGGUUCCAGUUCUAUACGACAAAUAAAGUAUAGAGAUUCAUAUGUGAAAAUGCUUGUAAUAUUACUGCAAUUCCCAUCCAGAUUUAAGGCUGUUUAAAAGUCCACCAUUGAUUUGACCCGAUUAAAAAGAGAAACACUCUUCAUAAUAUCAUCAAUCAAUGAACGUUUCUCUUUCAAUCCAAGAUCAAGUUGAUGUCUUUUUUGCACUCUGCGUCUGCUGCUCUUACACUUACUCUUAAAAUUUUAUGCGGUCUAGGAGGGGAAACCGACAAUGGCUGGAGGCGAGACAGAGGCGUUGAAUAGGCUAAAGAGCUUUGCAGCGGAUUGUCAAGCUCGAUUGAACAAGAAAAAUCAGAAAGGAGACAACAACAGUGUGUUUGGUGCAAACUUCUCGUGCAAGAUAUCACCCUGGCUAGCCAUGGGGAGCAUCUCUCCUCGUUCCAUGUUCGAUGAGCUGAAGAGAUCAGUUUCUGCAUCAACCACCCCCAAAACCCCAAGGUAAUGUCUCAGAACGCAACACUUUAGGGAACUCUGUUAAACCGAUUUGGACAUACUAAGGGUAUGUGUCUAGUCACCAUUCUCGGAAAUGAUUUUCUCAGGAACGGACCCGGAGAUACUGGACUGAACUGGUUAAUGUAUGAGUUGCUAUGGAGGGAUUUCUUCAGGUGAGAUCUUGCUUUCUUGACUUGUCCCCUAGGAGAAUUUGUUUUUUUUUUGUCUGAAUCUGUCUUUGAUGUGUGUUUAUACAGGUUUAUAACCAAAAAGUACAGCUCGGCGAAGACGCAGGUCGAGGCGGGUCCUGCUACAGCCUGUACCGGCGCAUUUGCUUAAAUUUAGAAAACUUCAGGUGACCGGAGAAAUUAGAAUGCAUCUGAUUUUGCCCUACUUUUUUUUUUGCUACUCGGACAUGACUUAAUCGCUCUCUUUUAAAAGUGAAGGGUAUGGUUAAAUAAGCUUUAUUGUGCUCAAUCAAGUUGUCAUUUUCUAGUCCCAAACAUUGCCAGUCCUCAAUUCCAAUCUAAGUCUCCGCUCCUUUGAGUUUAUCUCCAAGUUUGGAGGAUUAAGAAUGUAUCACUGACACAAUCUCAAAAUAAUUAUACGAAAUAGUAUUAGAUUAACAGCCUUCUUAGUCAUAACUAAUAUUUUUAAAACCAUGAGAAGCUGUGAAAUGAAUGGAUCCCUGAACUAUACAUACUCUGUCAACUCUGUUCUACCUUCUAUUUAGCCAAUGAUCCAAUCCAAAAUCAUCUUUAAUAUGCUUUUUAUAUUUGUAACACAUAUUUAGCCCACUGCCUCUGAUAUUUAUAAGAAAAACCCUUAAGUAAAACAGGAGGACAUGUCUUGUAGUAAGAUUUUUCUUCUUUCUCGUUUGCUUUUGUUGCUUCCUUCUAUAUGAUGCCUGAAACUUUCAAAGAAGAAAGAACAACGAAGACGACCCAAAGCAUCAUGAAGUAAGCAGAGGUAAGCCAAGCCCAUAGCCUUGGACCUCCAAGCUCAGCUCCUAUAAUCAACCGUCUCAACACAAGCACCACGAUACAUCCCACUGAAGUCGCAAAGAAUAUCAGCAGAGAAAAGCUUAAUCCUUUCGCGUUUUCUAUGUAUAAAGGCUCUCUGUAUGCAAAGUAGUUGUAUACUGUGUUUAUCAGCCACGGAACUCCAAUCCCCACGUAGAUGUUCACCGAGUUACUGCAGGAAUUAUAUCCAAAAAUAUCACGAAAAGAUCUUUGAUUGUUUUAAAAAGGGUUUUGAGAUUUUCACCUGCAGGUGAUGUUUGCAAUGGCUGAAUCCGCGGUUAGUUGUCGCUCUGCAGCGAUUUUGCUGGCUACUAAAUCUGGCCAUGAAGUUCCACUUGCGAGUGCUGUGAAUGCUAUCACAUAUGGGUUUAUUCCUGCAAAACGAAAAAGAGUUUCAAAUGUUCAACGGCUAAAAAACUUGAAUCUUUUGAUGGAAUUCUUGAAAGCUUUGUGUGGGGUACCAGUGACACAGCUUAUAAGGUCGGUAAGUCUUGUGACGACAAAUGCUACUCCGCUGAUGAAGAGAAGAGAGCAGAUGAAUGCGAUCCAACCGUGAGCGAUGUUGCAAGGAGGCACAACCGCAAAAAGGAUUUUCCAAGGGGCAAGGAGUAAUUGCCAAAAGGCUUUCACGAGUCGAAGAUAAAUGUUGUCAACUUUCUUUGAUUCUGAUGUUUCCAACUAUUUAAUUAAGAAUCAGAUUAGAAACUAGUUAAGAAAGAUGUGCUGAUCAAAAGCCCAAAAUGGAGUAUAUAAACACAUUGUAAGUCGAAGAUUUUACCGUUAUUGCGUCCACGAACUGAUGUUUCCAAAUGUCGAAAACAUUAGAAUUCUUUGCCUUACCCCUCUCAGUGGAAGAUCCUGGUGGAGUAUCUGCCACUGUAUGAUAGGUGAUCCCUGCAAAAGCGUUCGUUACACGGAAAUUUUGAUCUAUAACAGUAACAGAGAUAUAUAUACGUAAAUGUUUGGAAAUUGCGCUCAAAUUGAUCUUAUAUCAACAGAAAGACAACCUACACAUACUUAGUACCUGUAUCAUUAUUAGCAGAAUGAAUAGAGAAAAUAUCAACAAUGUUCCUGUUUCCCGAUUCACCAGCUUCUUGAGCGGCUUCCGAAUACACGUCAUGAACAUCAUUGUCAUCUUUGGAUGGAUCAAUCUCUUCUGGAACCCACUCCUCUGGCCUAUCACCUCUUGACCUUACAAAUAUCAAAAACAAACACAAAGAUUCAAUCUUUUUAGUAGGAAUUCAAUUUGCAGAAAACUAAUAGUAUUGCCUGGAGAAGAAACCAACAUAGGUAAGGACACGUAAGGCCAUCGCUUGUCUUGCGCAUACGCAUGAACUAAAAGUAAUCCGUAUUGCACUACUGUCAAUAAUGCCUCCACAAGUGUAAUUACAUUAGGUGACCACACCUGUGAGACAUAAGAAAAUGGAAAAAACAUGUUAGACCCCAUAUGAGUGAGUAUAUAAAUAAAUUCAACAGAAUCCUUGUUUUCACAGUUACCUCAAGGAUUAUGUAGAGCCAAAUGUAAGCCCAAAAAGACCAAGCCAGCUCAACAAGCCAAACACCCAAGUCGGAUAUCUUUUUCAAUUCUCCAGCUUUUGGCAUCACAACACAAACAGCGUGGAUGGGGAAGAGAUCAAAUGCAGCUGAGCCAACAAGUGUUCCUGGACCAAGACCUAUACAACACAACAUCAUAUGAGAACUCACAGUGUGAACUGAAGAGAUUUAAGAGUUAAAACUGUCAAGCUAACCGAAGAAAAUAACCAGACCUCCAGCAUAACGCUCCCCUAUGUUCCGUAUAGCAUCAAUGGUAGCUAAGGAGAUCUGAGGAAAGCUAGUUCCAAAAGCCAACAAGCUGAUGUCUGCAAUAGUAAAGUUCCAAACUUUCCGGUAUGUGAUAACUUGAGCUUUAGUAAUGGGGUCAACAGAAACCACUUUACGGGAAUGCUUGACGACAUUCUCCAUAGACUUGAAGAAGCGUGCAGUUAUCGCUGACAACCCGAGAAAGCAGUAGGCAAGACCGAGGAAAUAGAAAACAGCCCUCAAGCCAUCUGAAUAGCUACUUUCUCCGGGGUAUAUAAAGUAGCUUUCACAUCUUACAUGCCCAAGAACCCUAGAAGAUUCUUGCAAUUCCUGGGUUUGGUUAAGAAUCGAGGCCAUUCAGCUGAUUUUCUCACCGGGAAGCUGGAUCUGGCACUCGAAAGAAGCUUGGAACGAUUAGAAUUUAUAAGAAUCUUUCGAUCGAAUAGUAGCAGGAAAAUCGCGAAACAAACGGAACAUGCAAUAUACGAUAGAUUUAUUUCCAGAGAAUCCGUAACACUUGCGAAGGAUCCAAUGGCAUGUCCACCAGACUCAAGAAGCAACAAAAGAACGCAAACUUCAUCAUUGGCUCGGUAAAAGAAAGUUAAACAAGUUGAGACAAUAAACCCGAAUUCUCGAAGAUGGUCCCGAACAAAUCUCAACGAGAAUCACGAAUUGAGAACAGAACACGAAGGGAAAUCUGAGAAAACAAGAGUGACCCAGUUGAUGAAUGGGAACGUACCGGAGGAUAUCUCAGUGAACGGCAUUCACAAUCCGCCCAACACUGGAGAAAUUUCCCGAGAUACACAAGGCGAGAGGAGAGGCGCUAAUUGGAACGUGUCAGGAGUUGGUUUUUGGAGUGGAGACUCGUGAGCCAUUUAUUGCAAACACACAUCUAAUCUCUGCAUGACUCCUCAAUUGUAUCUUGCACGGAUUUUCUGUCCAUCGUAUCAAAUACCCAAACGUGAUGCAAAUUGUAUCUUAUAUCUACACUUAUUUAUAACAAAUAAUGACGAAACAUUUCCCAUCUAUAUACGGAGUUAGCAGCACUAAUUUGGACGAUGAGAUAUAUGUUAAUGUAGUAAGAGGUUACUUUAUCUUUCCAGACAAACAAUAUGGAAUUAGUAAAGAUGACAAACAUAUCUAAAAAAUUUGGCCAGCGUUUUUAACUCAGCCAACAGAGUUCUUAAGCCUGAUAGCCCGGUUUAUUUCCUUUUUUUUUUCAUUGUACUCGUAUGUUAAAUGUAAAACCAGAUUAUCAAGCUGGCUUAUAGUGCUAUAUCAUACUUUUCUGAUUUCAGUUUGUAAAUUUGGUUCCUUUGAUUUGGUUAACCAAAGUAUUUUAUUCAUAUAGUUUUCACAUGUUGGGAAAAAACUAGUUUACAAGAAAAGUAAGUACUCCAAAACCACCAAUCCCAUAAAUAAAUAAAUAAAAAGAAUACACUCGGUAAAGGAAACUAUUAUGGUCGUCACUCCGUAACAAAGUGAAAGAGAAAUGCCGUAGGGGUGGGUAUAUUUGUAAUUAAGCUGGCAAUUUUUAUGUUGAUUUUUAAAAAUCAAGAAAUAUACAGAAACUAAAGAAGCCCUAUCAAUUGUGUUGUAUUUAAGGCAAAACCCUAAGGGAUACACUUUUGACUCAGCCGUCCGUUUUGCAGAAACCAAUUUGGAGUUGCACAGCUGAGGAGGACGACGAUGGUAGAUCUCCCUUCUCUCUUUUGGUUUCUGUUUUCUUUUGGUUUUGAUCUCUUAGGUGUUUGUUUUCAUUGUAGAUUCAACGAAUUAGUUUUUUUUUUUCGUUUAUCUGGCAUGGGUCAGUGUUUCCGUUCUCCUGGAUGCAGAGAUGAAUUCAUAUCUGAUUAGGGUUUGUUAGAGUUAGUAAUAGAGAGCUAGUUAGUGAACCCAGAAAUUUGCGCAGAGAGCAAUAGCUUUCUCAUUCCAUUUUCACUUGGGUAUUCUUCAUUUGUUCUGAUUACACCAUGGUUUUGUUUUAGGCCCCAAAGAAAGGAGUGAAGGUAGCUGCCAAGAAGAAGACGGUACGAUUUUAAUUUGCUGUUUUUAUUUCCAAGGAAGGUUUUCGAACAUUUAGAUAUUUUGCUUAAGUUUGUGCUAUGUUUUUGAUUUCCAGGAAAAAGUUACGAACCCUCUAUUCGAGAGGAGGCCUAAGCAAUUCGGUAUUGGUGGAGCUUUGCCUCCCAAGAAGGAUCUUACUCGGUACAUCAAAUGGCCAAAGGCAAUCCGUCUUCAAAGACAAAAGAGGAUCCUUAAGCAGAGGUUGAAGGUUCCUCCAGCUCUUAACCAAUUCACCAAGACUCUUGACAAGAAUCUCGGUGAGUCAAUGAUGGGUUUUGGAGUUGCUUCUUUUUUUUUUAAUAAUGUUACUUGAAAUUUUUGCCUCAUUGCACUCACCACAUCCCAUAUUGUUAAUUGCAGCAACUAGCCUCUUCAAGAUCCUUCUAAAGUACAGGCCAGAAGACAAAGCUGCCAAGAAAGAGCGUCUUGUAAAGAAGGCUCAAGCUGAAGCCGAGGGAAAGCCUUCUGAAUCCAAGAAGCCUAUUGUUGUGAAGUAUGGCCUUAACCAUGUGACCUACCUCAUCGAGCAGAACAAGGCACAGCUUGUUGUCAUUGCUCAUGAUGUCGACCCAAUCGAGCUCGUCGUCUGGUUGCCUGCUCUCUGCAGGAAGAUGGAAGUCCCUUACUGCAUUGUCAAAGGGAAAUCUCGUCUUGGAGCGGUAUGUGUUAUAGGUCCAUCUCGGGAUCUAAUUUUCACUCACAUGUGUCUAGUUAAAACGGUGGGUUUACAGUUGUCUCUUGCUCUUACUUUCAGGUCGUUCACCAAAAGACUGCCGCUUGCUUGUGUUUGACCACUGUCAAGAACGAGGACAAGCUAGAGUUCAGCAAAAUCCUUGAGGCCAUCAAGGUAAAAAAGCUUCUGUGACAGUUGGAAUGAUGAAUUCUUUUACUUGAGAGAUUCUUAUGAUCUUUAACUUGGUUAUGGUUUCUUCGGUGUACAGGCCAACUUCAACGACAAGUACGACGAGUACAGAAAGAAAUGGGGAGGAGGCAUAAUGGGAUCCAAAUCUCAAGCCAAGACAAAGGCCAAGGAAAGGGUUCUUGCAAAGGAGGCUGCCCAGAGGAUGACUUAAGAAGGAUCUCUUUGUGUGUUUUGCUCAAAAGCCAUAUGCUCGGAUUCGUAAAACUUCAUAGAGAGCUUUUUUGUUUAGCUGUUUCUUUUUAGUUGAACCCCCUCGUUUAUGGAUAUUUGCACUUUCUUCAGACGGUUUCUAUGUUGUUUAAGCUUUUUAUCCCCUUGCUCUCUCAACUUCUUAAACUUAACAUUUGAUAAUGAAACUUCUGUAUCAUCGAGGCUAAAUUUUGCUUUUUUGGUCGUCAUCUGACUAUAUAAUAAUAUUAUAAUACGAAUAGUUAUUCUGGGUCUAUAUUCUACAUUAUGGGAAAAAAAUGUUAUCUGGGUAAUUUUGGUAAAAUGACAAUAAAUAAAUGGGCUUGUCAGAAAAAGAAAAUCAUAAAUAAUGGUCUUGGGCUUUGACAAAGAAAAGCUAAACAGUUUGGGCCUGGAUUGUUAAUUAAAUUUCUUCAAAUUUUACCGGGGUUUCUGCAAGUUUCGAGUUAUUUCGGAAUUUGACCAUUAGUUUAUUUUAUCGUCCUGCGAUUUGCAAUAGAUAGAUAGAGAGAUAAUUCAUUAGAAGUAAGGAGGGACAUGGAAGUCACUGAUCCAAGCUGGAAAGAAGCAGAAGUUGAGCUCUAUACCAUCCCUGCCCAGUCCAGUACGUCUUCUUUCUUUCUCUCCAACUCUAGGGUUUUAUCAUUGCCUUGGCGAGCUUUCAUUGCGCGGAAUCGAUGAUUUAGAUCUUUUGCUAUUCUAGGGUUUAUACUGACUGUUUCCGUAAUAGGAAUUAGCGUUCUUCUAGGGUUUUUUUUCUGUAGAAUUGAUUUGGGGUUGUUGUUUAUUCUAGGUUGGUUCUUAUGGCAUGAUAUACACGAAAUUGAAAGACGCGAGUUUGAGGAGUUCUUCAGUGAGAGCUCAAUCACUAGAACCCCCAAAGUGUAUAAAGAAUAUAGAGAUUUCAUCAUCAAUAAGUACAGAGAGGACACUUCUAGGAGGCUAACCUUCACCAGUAUCCGCAAGUAUCUCGUGGGCGAUGUCAACUUGCUUCAGAAAGUGUUUCUCUUCCUCGAAAAUUGGGGAUUGAUCAAUUUCGGCUCGAAAAGUGAUCAUGUGUUGUUGGUGGAGAAUCAAGGGAAGCAUAAAGCUAAGAUCGAGCAAGGGAGCCCCCCUGGGAUUAGAGUUACUGCAACUCCAAAUUCGAUGAGGCCUAUUACCGCACCGCCCCCUGUUGAGGAACGAGCUGAGCCUGGUGUCAAAUUACCACCUCUGACCUCUUAUUCUGACGUUUUCAGUGAUUUGAAGAAGCCUAGUGAUGGAUUGAUUUGUGGGCAUUGUGGAGAACGCUGUGAUUCUGCUUUCUACCAACAUAACAAGGUCAGUUCUGUUCUUUAUCUUUUUCUUUAACAUGUUUCAUCUUCUCUUGUCUUUUUUCCUAACAUAUGAUGUUGGCAGAGUAUUGUCAACUUGUGCGAAAAGUGUUUCAAGAAUGGAGACUACGGGGAGAACAAUUCCGCAGAUGAUUUCAGGUUGAAUUCUGGGAAUUCUGCUGCAGCUGUGUGGACCGAGGAAGAGAUCCUCCUCUUGCUAGAAUCUGUGCUGAAACAUGGAGAUGAUUGGGAACUCAUUGCACAAAGUGUUUCUUCAAAGAGUAGACUAGAUUGCAUUUCGAAGCUCAUUGAGCUCCCAUUUGGAGAGUUUCUGAUGGGCUCUGCCUCUGGAAGACUCGA